This 411-nucleotide ribosomal RNA is filed under the name Triticum aestivum (bread wheat). RNAcentral's name for it is "partial small subunit ribosomal RNA". The record is from RNAcentral. Lineage: Eukaryota; Viridiplantae; Streptophyta; Magnoliopsida; Poales; Poaceae.
GGUGUUGUAGCUGCGAUUUGCAGAGACAAAUUAGGGCAGUACCUGGGCGCUUUUGCUAUUGUUUUUGAUGGCCUGAUUGAUGCGCUAAGCCUUGAAGCACAUGCAUGCAACGAAGCACUAGCACUAGCAAGGGAUCUCAAUGUUUCACAUGUGAUAGUUGCCUCAGACUGCAUGCAAGUCAUAUCAGAUAUCAAUCGAGGCGCACUAUCAGCUUAUGCUCUAGUUCCUUAUGAGAUUAGAGAGAGUAUGAAAGACUUUGUUAAUGUUAGUUUUCGUUUUGAGAAAAGGGAGUUAAAUUUUGAAGCUCAUGCCUUGGCUAAGGCGGCUUCGACACUCCCCUUUGGUCGCCAUUUGUGGCUAGGGAAACUGCCAGAUAUUACUUGUAUUCCUGCUGUUAUGAACAAUGAAUAA